CGCCGGGAUACGUGUUUACCG
RNAcentral lists this microRNA (21 nucleotides) under Spodoptera frugiperda (fall armyworm). RNAcentral describes it as "sfr-miR-10458-5p". The record is from miRBase by way of RNAcentral. Lineage: Eukaryota; Metazoa; Arthropoda; Insecta; Lepidoptera; Noctuidae.